RNAcentral lists this ribosomal RNA (561 nucleotides) under Fusarium oxysporum f. sp. ciceris. Its description in RNAcentral is "eukaryotic LSU rRNA". The stretch from base 181 to 334 matches the Rfam family "5.8S ribosomal RNA". Lineage: Eukaryota; Fungi; Ascomycota; Sordariomycetes; Hypocreales; Nectriaceae. The record is from RNAcentral.
UUCCGUAGGGGUAACCUGCGGAGGGAUCAUUACCGAGUUUACAACUCCCAAACCCCUGUGAACAUACCAAUUGUUGCCUCGGCGGAUCAGCCCGCUCCCGGUAAAACGGGACGGCCCGCCAGAGGACCCCUAAACUCUGUUUCUAUAUGUAACUUCUGAGUAAAACCAUAAAUAAAUCAAAACUUUCAACAACGGAUCUCUUGGUUCUGGCAUCGAUGAAGAACGCAGCAAAAUGCGAUAAGUAAUGUGAAUUGCAGAAUUCAGUGAAUCAUCGAAUCUUUGAACGCACAUUGCGCCCGCCAGUAUUCUGGCGGGCAUGCCUGUUCGAGCGUCAUUUCAACCCUCAAGCCCCCGGGUUUGGUGUUGGGGAUCGGCGAGCCCUUGCGGCAAGCCGGCCCCGAAAUCUAGUGGCGGUCUCGCUGCAGCUUCCAUUGCGUAGUAGUAAAACCCUCGCAACUGGUACGCGGCGCGGCCAAGCCGUUAAACCCCCAACUUCUGAAUGUUGACCUCGGAUCAGGUAGAAAUACCCGCUGAACUUAAGCAUAUCAAAUCGGAAGGAAA